RNAcentral lists this ribosomal RNA (446 nucleotides) under Leotiomycetes sp. genotype 776 JMUR-2016. Its description in RNAcentral is "eukaryotic LSU rRNA". Lineage: Eukaryota; Fungi; Ascomycota; Leotiomycetes. The record is from RNAcentral.
GGUUUGACCUCGGAUCAGGUAGGGAUACCCGCUGAACUUAAGCAUAUCAAUAAGCGGAGGAAAAGAAACCAACAGGGAUUGCCUCAGUAACGGCGAGUGAAGCGGCAACAGCUCAAAUUUGAAAUCUGGCUCUUUCAGGGUCCGAGUUGUAAUUUGUAGAAGAUGYUUCGGGUGUGGCUCCGGUCUAAGUUCCUUGGAACAGGACGUCAUAGAGGGUGAGAAUCCCGUAUGUGACUGGYWGCCUCYGCUCAUGUGAAACUCUUUCGACGAGUCGAGUUGUUUGGGAAUGCAGCUCAAAAUGGGUGGUAAAUUUCAUCUAAAGCUAAAUAUUGGCCAGAGACCGAUAGCGCACAAGUAGAGUGAUCGAAAGAUGAAAAGCACUUUGGAAAGAGAGUUAAACAGUACGUGAAAUUGUUGAAAGGGAAGCGCUUGCAACCAGACUUGCA